GUCCUUCUAGUUUAAUGGUAAAACCAUUGCCUUCUAAGCAAUUUAUCGUGGUUCGACUCCACGGGAGGAUA
This 71-nucleotide transfer RNA is filed under the name Yarrowia sp. C11. RNAcentral's name for it is "tRNA-Arg". It matches the Rfam family "tRNA". From Rfam's summary of the family: Transfer RNA (tRNA) molecules are approximately 80 nucleotides in length. Their secondary structure includes four short double-helical elements and three loops (D, anti-codon, and T loops). Lineage: Eukaryota; Fungi; Ascomycota; Dipodascomycetes; Dipodascales. RNAcentral also lists the same sequence under 1 other name. The record is from RNAcentral.